GACACAGCGCCACCUAGUGGUCAGGAGAUAUGAAAAAUGCAUAUUUUGGCUUAUAACUACUGAAUGGUUUGGCCAAAAAUCACACAACUGGUCUCUUUAGAUUCAGUGAGUCAUGUCGAGUCAAAUGAUAUCCAAUUUUCCUGUGUCGGCCAUUUUAGGCGUCGGCCAUUUUGAAUUAUGAUUUAAAAUGCUGUAUUUUUUGAACGCAGCAUCGUAUCGUUUCGCAAAUAAUUACAAAAAUAUUCGGCUCCAUGCCCUGAAGGUACUCAAAAAGUUUGGUGGCAGCGCCACCUUGUGGCCAAUAGUUAUAAUGAAAUAUCACAUAAAUGCUAAUAACUUUUGAAUAAAUUAGUCUAUUAAAAUUAAAAUGGUCUCGCUAUAUUCUGUGGGUCAUGCCGAGAGUAUUGAUACCAAUAAUGUGAAAAUUGGCCUUACUUCCUGUCCGCCAUUUUGCUUAAUGUUGAAAACCUACUUUUUCGAACUCCUCCUAGACCGUUAGCCCAAUUUUCACCAAAUUUGACGUGCAUCAUCUUCAGACCAUGCUGGCAAAAAGUUAUGGAUUUUGUGUCGAUAUACGUAACGGUUCUCAUUUAGCGCAUCAACGAAUUUGCUGGAAGGGUGCCAAAAUGCAUUUGAGGCUGUAUCUCUGCAACACUUUGACAUAUUUGCACCAAACUUUGUAUGUGUCAUCGCCACCUCACACUGACCAUGCCACAUAAAUUUGGUAACAGCGCCACCUAUUGGUCAAGAGUAAUAAACCAUUCAUUAACCAUGAGUAAUUACACUUUUUAAAAUGCUAAUAACUUUUUAAUGCAUUAGCCUAUUUGAAGGAAACUGGGCUCAAAAUAUUCCCUGGCUUAUGCCGAUAACAUAGAUACCAAAUAUACCACGGUAAGCUGAACUUCCGGUCCGCCAUUUUGAUUUAUGUUGAAAACAUACUUUUUCGAACUCCUGAUCAACCGUAUGUCCGAUUUUCACCAAAUUCGAAUCAAAUGAUCUUCAGGCUAUACUGAUUCAAAGUUAUGGAUUUUGAGUCGAUAGACAAAACUGUUUUCGCAUACCACAUCGACGAAUUUGAGGCACAAUGAGAAAAUGACACUUGAGGCUGUAUCCCUGGAAUGCUUUGGCAUAUUGACACCAAACUUUGUGUGUGUCAUUGAAAAGACACACAGAGUACACCAAAUUGAUUUUAUAACAGUGUCACCUAUUGGUCAAGCUUGAUAAACCAAGUAAUCAUGCUACUAGAGGUGGUAUUGGUGUUUUUUUUUUUUGCCAUUUCAAAUACAAUAAUUCCAAAAUUGCUGUUAUUGCUCAUUAAUGUAUUUGGUGUGAUGCUUUAUGCGAUGCUUAGCUACUACAUUUGCCGUUGGAGUGCUUGGCCCCGUAAUUGCUGCUUGCAGCUAUAUUUAGGGGCCAAGCACCGAAGGUGCGUAGGCACCUAUUGUUUUCGUUGGCGUUAUUAUUAGGGGCCAAGCACCGAAGGUGCGUAGGCACCUAUUGUAAUCGUUGGCGUUAUUAUUAUUCUGCUUCUUCUUCUUCUUCUUCUUCUUCUUCUUCCGCCGCAAGUCUAUGGCAGCCCAUAGAACCGAUUGCGGGAAAGUUGUAUAAUUUGGCACACUGAUAGAGGACAGUCCCAACAUUAACUAUAGCUAAUUUGAAGUCUCUAACUCCUACUCUCUAGCGCCACCACUUGUCCAAACUUUCAAUGUUUGUAUGCUAAUAACUUUUGAACCGUAAGCCAGAAAAUGGAAAUUCUUUUUUCCUCUGAAUCCUUGGCUCAUGCCAAGUCGAAUGAACCCCAAAAUUCAAAAAUCGCAAGGUUUAGUUUUUUCGCUAUUUUCAAUUUUUCGAAAAACCUACUUUUUCGAACUCGUGCUAGACGGUUAGUCCGAUUGCCACGAAAAUUGGCUCAGAUCAUCUUCAGAUCAUGCUGGCAAAAAGUUAUGGAAUUCAAGUUGAUUCGUCCAACCAUUGUCGAAUGACACGUAAACAAAUUUGACGAAAAGCACGCAAAAAUGCACUUGAGGCUAUAUCUCAGCAACGGUUUGGCAUAUUGAAACCAAACUUGGUGUGUGUUAUAAUAAGCAUGACCUGAGACUACCUGCAGUGUUUCGACACAGCGCCACCUAGUGGUCAGGAGAUAUGAAAAAUGCAUAUUUUGGCUUAUAUCUUCUGAAUGGUUUGGCCAAAAAUCACACAACUGGUCUCUUUAGAUUCAGUGAGUCAUGUCGAGUCGUAUGAUAUGCAAAUUUCCCGUGUCAGCCAUUUUAGGCGUCGGCCAUUUUGAAUUAUGUUUUAAAAUGCUGUAUUUUUUCAACGCAGCAUCAUAUCGUUUCGCAAAUAAUUACAAAAAUAUUCGGCUCCAUGCCCUGAAUGUACUCAAAAAGUUUGGUGGCAGCGCCACCUUGUGGUCAAGAGUUAUAAUGAAUUAUAACAAAAAUGCUAAUAACUUUUGAGUAAAUUAGACAAUUGAAAUGCAAAUGGUCUCCCCGUAUUCUUUGGGUCAUGCCGAGAACAUAGAUACCAAUUAUGCCAAAAUUGGCCAUACUUCCUGUCCGCCAUUUUGAUUAAUGUUGAAAACCUACUUUUUCGAACUCCUCCUAGACCGUUAGUCCGAUUUUCACCAAAUUUGACGUGAAUCAUCUUCAGACCAUGCUGGCAAAAAGUUAUGGAUUUCGUGUCGAUAUACAAAACGAUUCUGAUUUAGCGCAUCAACGAAUUUGCUGGAAGGGUGCCAAAAUGCAUUUGAGGCUGUAUCUCUGCAACGCUUUGACAUUUUUGCACCAAACUUUGUAUGUGUCAUCGCCACCUGACACUGACCAUGCCACAUAAAUUUGGUAACAGCGCCACCUAUUGGUCAAGAGUAAUGAACCAUUCAUUAACUAUGAAUAAUUACACUUAUAAAAAUGCUAGUAACUUUUUAAUGCAUUAGCCUAUUGUAAUGAAACUGGCCUCAAAAUAUUCCCUGGCUUAUGCCGACAACAUAGAUACCAUAUAUGCCAGAGUAAGCCGAACUUCCUGUCCGCCAUUUUGAUUUAUGUUGAAAACCUACUUUUUCGAACUCCUCAUCAACCGUUGGUCCGAUUUUCACCAAAAUUGACUCAGAUGAUCUGUAGACUGUACUGACAAAAUGUUAUGGAUUUUGUAUCGAUAGACAAAACCGUUUUCGCAUACCACAGCGACGAAUUUGAGGCACAAUGCCAAAAUGACACUUGAGGCUGUAUCUCUGCAAUGCUUUGGCAUAUUGACACCAAACUUUGUUUGUGUCAUUGAAAAGUCACACAGAGUACACCAAAUUGACUUGAUAACAGCACCACCUAUUGGUCAAUUUUGAUAAGCCAGUAAAUCAUGCUACUAGAGGUUGUAUUUAUGAUUUUUUUAGCCAUUUCAAUUACAAUCAUCCUAAAAUUGCUGUUAUUGCUCAUUAAUGCAUUUGGUGUGAUGCUCCAUGCCAUGCUUAGCUCCUACAUUUGCCGUUGGAGUGCUUGGCCCCGUAAUUGCUGCUUGCAGCUAUAUUUAUUAUUAUUAUUCUUCCUCUUCUUCCACCCCAAGUCUAUGGUAGCCCAUAGAACCGAUUGCGGGAAAGUUGUAUAAUUUGGCACACUAAUAGAAGACUGUCUGAACAUUAACCGUAGCAAAUUUGAAGUCUCUAACUCAAACUCUCUAGCGCCACCAAUUGUCUAAACUUUCAAAAAAUUGAUGCUAAUAACUCUUGAACCGUAAGCCACAAAAUGAAAAUUCUUUUUUCCUGUGAUUCCUUGGCUCAUGCCGAGUCGAAUGGACACCGAAAUUCAAAAAUCGCAAGGCUUAGUUUUUUCGCUAUCGUCAAUUGUUCGUAAAACCUACUUUUUCGAACUCGUCCUAGGCCGUUGCACCGAUUGUCACGAAAAUUGAAUCAGAUAAUCUUCAGACCAUGCUGGCAAAAAGUUAUGGAAUUCAAGUUGAUUUCUCAAACCGUUUCCGAAUAGCUCAUGAACGAAUUCUUCGAAAAGCACGCAAACGUGAACGUGAGGCUAUAUCUCCGCAACGGUUUGGCCUAUUGAGACCAAUCUUGGUGGGUCUUAUAACAACCAUUCCCUGGGACUACCUGCAGUGUUUCGGCGCUGUGCCCCCUAGUGGU
Molecule: long non-coding RNA, 4120 nt
Organism: Carassius gibelio (silver crucian carp)
Lineage: Eukaryota; Metazoa; Chordata; Actinopteri; Cypriniformes; Cyprinidae
Exons: 3
Source: RefSeq, a predicted model, not a curated record